AGAGUUUGAUCAUGGCUCAGAACGAACGCUGGCGGCAGGCUUAACACAUGCAAGUCGAGCGCACUCUUCGGAGUGAGCGGCAGACGGGUGAGUAACGCGUGGGAACCUACCUAGUAGUACGGAAUAGCCCUGGGAAACUGGGAAUAAUACCGUAUACGCCCUCAUAUGAUUAAUUUCUUUGGGGGGAAAGAUUUAUCGCUAUUAGAUGGGCCCGCGUUGGAUUAGCUAGUUGGUGAGGUAAUGGCUCACCAAGGCGACGAUCUAUAGCUGGUCUGAGAGGAUGAUCAGCCACACUGGAACUGAGACACGGUCCAGACUCCUACGGGAGGCAGCAGUGGGGAAUAUUGGACAAUGGGGGAAACCCUGAUCCAGCCAUGCCGCGUGAGUGAUGAAGGCCUUAGGGUUGUAAAGCUCUUUCAAUGGUGAAGAUAAUGACGGUAACCAUAGAAGAAGCCCCGGCUAACUUCGUGCCAGCAGCCGCGGUAAUACGAAGGGGGCUAGCGUUGUUCGGAUUUACUGGGCGUAAAGCGCACGUAGGCGGAUUGAUCAGUUAGGGGUGAAAUCCCGAGGCUCAACCUCGGAACUGCCUUUAAUACUGUCAGUCUAGAGACCGGAAGAGGUGAGUGGAACUCCUAGUGUAGAGGUGGAAUUCGUAGAUAUUAGGAAGAACACCAGUGGCGAAGGCGGCUCACUGGUCCGGUACUGACGCUGAGGUGCG
Molecule: ribosomal RNA, 718 nt
Filed under: uncultured bacterium
Lineage: Bacteria
Description: bacterial SSU rRNA
Rfam family: Bacterial small subunit ribosomal RNA
Source: RNAcentral